This 460-nucleotide ribosomal RNA is filed under the name uncultured bacterium. RNAcentral describes it as "partial 16S ribosomal RNA". It matches the Rfam family "Bacterial small subunit ribosomal RNA", at positions 338 to 795 of the family's 1533-position model. The record is from RNAcentral.
CCUACGGGAGGCAGCAGUGAGGAAUAUUGGUCAAUGGGCUUACGCCUGAACCAGCCAAGUCGCGUGAGGGAAGACUGCCCUAUGGGUUGUAAACCUCUUUUGUCAGGGAGCAACGCCGGCUACGUGUAGCCGGACUGAGAGUACCUGAAGAACAAGCAUCGGCUAACUCCGUGCCAGCAGCCGCGGUAAUACGGAGGAUGCGAGCGUUAUCCGGAUUUAUUGGGUUUAAAGGAUGCGUAGGCGGAAUGCCAAGUCAGCGGUAAAAUCGCGGGGCUCAACCUCGCUGGGCCGUUGAUACUGGGAGUCUUGAGUACAGGUGAGGUAGGCGGAAUUCGUGGUGUAGCGGUGAAAUGCUUAGAUAUCACGAAGAACUCCGAUUGCGAAGGCAGCUUACUAGACUGCAACUGACGUUGAUGCUCGAAAGUGUGGGGAUCAAACAGGAUUAGAUACCCUAGUAGUC